AUCUACAGUCAGCCCAUCCCGGAUGUGCCUGGCUUCAUCUUGUCUCAGAAGCUAAGCAAGGGUGGGUCUGGUUAGUACUUGGAGAUUCCCUGUGGGUACUAGGCU
This 105-nucleotide ribosomal RNA is filed under the name Mus pahari (shrew mouse). RNAcentral describes it as "rRNA (MGP_PahariEiJ_G0032704.1)". The record is from RNAcentral. Lineage: Eukaryota; Metazoa; Chordata; Mammalia; Rodentia; Muridae.